UCCGUAGGCGGGCGUCUAAGUCAGUGGUGAAAUCUUACAGCUCAACUGUAAAAUUGCCAUUGCUACUGGAUGUCUUGAAUUAGUGUGAAGUGGUUAGAAUGUGUAGUGUAGCGGUGAAAUGCAUAGAUAUUACACAGAAUACCAAUUGCGAAGGCAGAUCACUAACACUAUAUUGACGCUGAGGGACGAAAGCGUGGGGAGCGAACAGGAUUAGAUACCCUGGUAGUCC
Molecule: ribosomal RNA, 229 nt
Filed under: uncultured bacterium
Lineage: Bacteria
Description: partial 16S ribosomal RNA
Rfam family: Bacterial small subunit ribosomal RNA
Source: RNAcentral